CCUACGGGAGGCAGCAGUGGGGAAUAUUGGGCAAUGGGCGCAAGCCUGAACCAGCAACGCCGCGUGAAGGAAGAAGGCUUUAGGGUUGUAAACUUCUUUUCUCAGGGAAGAAGCAAGUGACAGUACCUGAGGAAUGAGCCACGGCUAACUACGUGCCAGCAGCCGCGGUAAUACGUAGGUGGCAAGCGUUAUCCGGAUUUACUGGGUGUAAAGGGCGUGUAGGCGGGACUGUAAGUCAGAUGUGAAAACCACGGGCUCAACCUGUGGCCUGCAGUUGAAACUGUAGUUCUUGAGUACUGGAGAGGCAGACGGAAUUCGUAGUGUAGCGGUGAAAUGCUUAGAUAUUAGGAGGAACACCAGUGGCGAAGGCGGUCUGCUGGACAGCAACUGACGCUGAGGCUCGAAAGCGUGGGUAUCAAACAGGAUUAGAUACCCGGGUAGUC
Molecule: ribosomal RNA, 443 nt
Filed under: uncultured bacterium
Lineage: Bacteria
Description: partial 16S ribosomal RNA
Rfam family: Bacterial small subunit ribosomal RNA
Source: RNAcentral